GUCCUUAGGACUAAGCCAUGCAAGCCAGCGAAGGCAACGAAGCGGUGAACGGCUCAGUAGGACAGGGUUUAUCUGGCCAGAAUUUAGGAUAACCACGGUAAGCUGUGGCUAAGACUAAUUUGGGUGAGACUCUGGCCUAUUAGCUUGACGGUACGGUAAGUGCGUACUGUGGCGAUGAUGGGUAGCGGGGAAUCGGGGUUUGAUUCCGGAGAGGGAGCCUGAGAGAUGGCUGCCACGUCCAAGGACGGCUGCAGGCGCGAAAAUUACCCACUUGGAGGACCAGAGGUAGUGACGAGGCGUUAAUAAUGAGAGUAGUGUAAACAGCUAUUUGAAGGCAAUUGGAGGGCAAGUCUGGUGCCAGCAGCCGCGGUAAUUCCAGCUCCAAGAGCAUCUGUGUGUGUUGCUGCGGUUAAAGAGUGCGUAGUCAGAUUUUUUGCCAGCAAUAAAGGUGCGAUAUCCAAACGUGCAUUGUGCUGGUACUUUAAUCUAGGGACCGGAGUAGGGCAAUAUUAUUCGACAGCGAGGGGUGAAAACUGAUGACCUGUCGAGGAGUGACUGAGGCGAAAGCGGUUGUCCGGGACGGGUUCGACGAUCAAGCGCGUGAGCAGGAGGAUCGAAGGCGAUUAGAGACCGUCGUAGUUCCUGCAGUAAACGAUGCCAACAGGGGUGCAAGAGCUGUGCCCCAAGGGAAACCGAGUGUAUAGGCUCCGGGGAUAGUACGGGCGCAAGCCAGAAACUUGAAGAAAUUGACGGAAGGACACCACAAGGAGUGGAGUGUGCGGGUUAAUUUGACUCAACGCGGGGCAACUUACCAGGGCAAGCAAUGUUGCGCGAAGGGCAUGUAUAAGUUAUGUGUUCUGAUGAUGUUGCGUGUGGUGCAUGGCCGUUCUUAACACGUGGGGUGACCUGUCUGGUUAAAUCCGAUAACGCGUGAGACCCUGAACUUUUGUGACGGUACUCGAAGAGAGUAAGGAAGCACUGGUUGAUAACAGGUCUGUGAUGCCCGUAGAUGUUCUGGGCGCCACGCGCACUACAGUGGGAAAGGAUGCUUUAAACGGUACUUUCUUGCGGUUGGGAUUGACGUUUGUAAAUACGUCAUGAACGUGGAAUUCCUAGUAGUUUGUUGUCACUAUCGACAGACGAAUGUGUCCCUGUUCUUUGUACACACCGCCCGUCGUUAUCUAAGAUGGAUGUGCGGAUGAAGCUGGCUUGGCCAUAAGAAUCCGUGCGACUAGAUUGGAUACAAGUCGUAACAAGGUUGCAGUAGGUGAACCUGCCGCAGGAUCAAUAGUUAAAUUGAUUGGGUUUUAUAUUUAUAAGUAACAUCAUACUCGAUGGAUCGAUUGGCUUUGGUGACGAUUAAGAACGUUGCUGAAUGCGUAAUUGGGAAUGCAUGGCAACAUGUUACCUGUGUUCGAAUUGUAGGUUUUUAUCUACGAUAACCCUCUGGACUUAAGCAUAUCAUUAAGAGGAGGAAAAUAAAAUAACUAUGAUUCCGAUAGUAGCGGCGAGUGAAUUUGGAACAGCCCCAAUGGUAAAGGAUACAUUGUAUUCUGUUGUAAAGGGUAUGCAGUAAAAAUGUUGAAAUGCAUUUUCAUAGAGGGUGAAAAACCUGUAUUGCAAUAUUAUAUAGUGAGUAGUACUGUUUGGUAGUGCAGUAUGAAAGGGUGGUUGUGAUCAUCCAAGGCUAAAUACAACCAAAGACCGAUAGAGGAUAAGUACUGUGAAGGAACUGACCUGCUGUGAUGGUAGGGAUGUGAAAUUCGAGUAUGAGGAAGGGA
Molecule: ribosomal RNA, 1781 nt
Filed under: Senoma globulifera
Lineage: Eukaryota; Fungi; Microsporidia
Description: SSU rRNA
Rfam family: Microsporidia small subunit ribosomal RNA (bases 1-1290)
Source: RNAcentral